Molecule: ribosomal RNA, 253 nt
Filed under: uncultured bacterium
Lineage: Bacteria
Description: partial 16S ribosomal RNA
Rfam family: Bacterial small subunit ribosomal RNA
Source: RNAcentral
UACAGAGGGUGCGAGCGUUAAUCGGAUUUACUGGGCGUAAAGCGUGUGUAGGUGGCCGCGUAAGUCGAUUGUGAAAGCCCUGGGCUCAACCCGGGAAUUGCAGUCGAUACUGCGUGGCUCGAGUUCGGUAGAGGACGGCAGAAUUCUCGGUGUAGCGGUGAAAUGCGUAGAUAUCGAGAGGAAUACCGAUGGCGAAGGCAACCGUCUGGGCCUGAACUGACACUGUGACACGAAAGCGUGGGUAGCAAACAGG